AAGAUGAGGAACACUCCUGAUUUAUUUAAUAAGAUAGUUGAUAGCAUAUGUCCUACUAUCUUUCUAUGUUUGAGUGGGGUUUUUCUUUAUUAAUGUUUAAGCCAUCUACUUAAAUUAUUUGAUGCAUUGUAGGCAGGUUUUGCUGGACGCUGCAAGAAAGGUGGGCAUAGAAGGGGCCGAAGAACUGUUUGAAGACCCUACCAAAGGAGUCGAUGGGGUUCAGGAAGAACUCAAGAAGUAUUCAUCUGGCAUCUCCGGGGUCCCACAUUUUGUGAUCAAUGAUAAAUAUCAACUCAGUGGUGGCCAGCCUCCAAAUCUAUUCAUGAGGGCGUUUGAGAUAGCUACAAAAGAUGGAGCUUAAUGGCAUUUCAAAGGAGCUCCUCCAGUAGUCUUCUCAUAUGUUAAAAAGGAAUAGGAGCAGAAUUUAACAAUAAAGUUCCAGCACAGCUCAUCGCUGAUUUGCGAAAAUAUGUGGAAUCAGUUGUAUUUCCGUAGUUCUGAUGUGGUGAUAAUUAGUGGUGAAGAUGGUGUGGAUGUUCACUUUCGAAUAAAAUUCUAGGUGAUCGGAUAUGGCAUAUGAGUUAGAAUGCCCCAUAAACAGAGCCCGGUCUGUAUUUACAUUUGGUUUGAUAGGAUGUGUGCAAGAUAUCAGAAAACAACAAAGUUUAGAUUUGAUAUUCGAAAGGAAUAAAAAAAGCUAGCAGACAGAGCUGCAUUUAAAUUGAUUGUUACCAUUUACACUGAUUCCGCAAACUUUCUGGUCCAAUACCAUUUAUUAACCUGGAGAAAAUUUCUGCCGUGUUAAAGCUUGAAAUUUGAUCAUCGACAUUUUGUUCCAAACCA
Molecule: long non-coding RNA, 843 nt
Organism: Zea mays
Lineage: Eukaryota; Viridiplantae; Streptophyta; Magnoliopsida; Poales; Poaceae
Exons: 3
Source: RefSeq, a predicted model, not a curated record